GGAAAUCCACGAUGGAGGAAGAAGGAAGGGCUCCCAGACUGAAGCGGUUCAACAACCGUGCCGGCCUUGUUUCUUCUCGUAUUCUAUGCCAGAGAAGAACGAUAACAAUUAUGCCUUACGUGAAAGUAACAGAAGGUCAUCCAUCAUCUGCCAAGCCAAUUGUUUGUGUUGAAACAAUUUUUAUAUGUUUUCCAUUAGCCAGAAAUGACAAUAACAAUCAAGCUGAUUAGUGGUCCCAUUCAUAUAUCGACUGUAGGUCGGGACAGGGAACUGAUACAAGUACCAGAGCCAAUGUGAAGAUGGCUUCCGAACCAUAUAAUGUAGGCUAAGUGGAGAACGACAGUACCAAACACAGGCUGGUAUUAACAAGCCACAAUGAAGACAACACAUGAAAUGUACAAUACAUGUAUCUUUGACGAGGCUUAAACCUGCUCAACAGAUACAAAAGAGCUUCAAAGAA
Long non-coding RNA from Limulus polyphemus (Atlantic horseshoe crab), 460 nucleotides. RefSeq lists it as uncharacterized. The record is from RefSeq and is a predicted model, not a curated record. The transcript has 3 exons. NCBI's taxonomy places the organism in Eukaryota, Metazoa, Arthropoda, Merostomata, Xiphosura, Limulidae.